CGGGGAGUAGCGCAGCCUGGUAGCGCACCUGCUUUGGGAGCAGGGGGUCGAAGGUUCGAAUCCUUUCUCCCCGACCA
This 77-nucleotide transfer RNA is filed under the name Alphaproteobacteria bacterium. RNAcentral's name for it is "tRNA-Pro". It matches the Rfam family "tRNA". Rfam says of the family: Transfer RNA (tRNA) molecules are approximately 80 nucleotides in length. Their secondary structure includes four short double-helical elements and three loops (D, anti-codon, and T loops). RNAcentral also lists the same sequence under 1 other name. The record is from RNAcentral. Lineage: Bacteria; Pseudomonadati; Pseudomonadota; Alphaproteobacteria.